GACGAACGCUGGCGGCGUGCUUAACACAUGCAAGUCGAACGGAAAGGCCCUGCUUUUGUGGGGUGCUCGAGUGGCGAACGGGUGAGUAACACGUGAGUAACCUGCCUUGACUUUGGGAUUACUUCAGGAAACUUGGGCUAAUACCCGAUUGGAGCUCCUGCUGCCUGGUGGGGGUUGGAAAGGUUCGGCGGUUGGGGAUGGACUCGCGGCUUAUCAGCUUGUUGGUGGGGUAGUGGCUUACCAAGGCUUUGACGGGUAGCCGGCCUGAGAGGGUGACCGGCCACAUUGGGACUGAGAUACGGCCCAGACUCCUACGGGAGGCAGCAGUGGGGAAUAUUGCACAAUGGGCGGAAGCCUGAUGCAGCAACGCCGCGUGCGGGAUGACGGCCUUCGGGUUGUAAACCGCUUUCGCCUGUGACGAAGCGUGAGUGACGGUAAUGGGUAAAGAAGCACCGGCUAACUACGUG
This 467-nucleotide ribosomal RNA is filed under the name uncultured bacterium. RNAcentral describes it as "partial 16S ribosomal RNA". It matches the Rfam family "Bacterial small subunit ribosomal RNA", at positions 28 to 507 of the family's 1533-position model. The record is from RNAcentral.